This 490-nucleotide ribosomal RNA is filed under the name uncultured bacterium. RNAcentral's name for it is "partial 16S ribosomal RNA". It matches the Rfam family "Bacterial small subunit ribosomal RNA", at positions 30 to 507 of the family's 1533-position model. The record is from RNAcentral.
AUUGAACGCUGGCGGCAGGCCUAACACAUGCAAGUCGAACGGUAACAGGAAGAAGCUUGCUUCUUUGCUGACGAGUGGCGGACGGGUGAGUAAUGUCUGGGAAACUGCCUGAUGGAGGGGGAUAACUACUGGAAACGGUAGCUAAUACCGCAUAACGUCGCAAGACCAAAAAGGGGGACCUUCGGGCCUCUUGCCAUCGGAUGUGCCCAGAUGGGAUUAGCUAGUUGGUGGGGUAACGGCUCACCUAGGCGACGAUCCCUAGCUGGUCUGAGAGGAUGACCAGCCACACUGGAACUGAGACACGGUCCAGACUCCUACGGGAGGCAGCAGUGGGGAAUAUUGCACAAUGGGCGCAAGCCUGAUGCAGCCAUGCCGCGUGUAUGAAGAAGGCCUUCGGGUUGUAAAGUACUUUCAGCGGGGAGGAAGGGAGUAAAGUUAAUACCUUUGCUCAUUGACGUUACCCGCAGAAGAAGCACCGGCUAACUCCGUG